GAUGAAGAACGUAGCGAAAUGCGAUAAGUAAUGUGAAUUGCAGAAUUCAGUGAAUCAUCGAAUCUUUGAACGCACAUUGCGCCCUUUGCUAUUCCGAAGGGCAUGCCUGUUCGAGCGUCAUUUCACCACUCAAGCCUGGCUUGGUAUUGGGCGCCGCGGUCGAUCCGCGCGCCUCAAAGUCUCCGGCUGAGCUGUCCGUCUCUAAGCGUUGUGAUUUCAUUAAUCGCUUCGGAGUGCGGGCGGCCGCGGCCGUUAAAUCUUUCACAAGGUUGACCUCGGAUCAGGUAGGGAUACCCGCUGAACUUAAGCAUAUCAAUAAGCGGAGGA
Molecule: unclassified non-coding RNA, 327 nt
Filed under: soil metagenome
Description: partial contains 5.8S ribosomal RNA, internal transcribed spacer 2, and large subunit ribosomal RNA
Rfam family: 5.8S ribosomal RNA (bases 1-120)
Source: RNAcentral